UAUUGGACGGAAAAUCUUAUUGGAUUUUUCAGGAAUUUCUAGAAAUUUUUCGGGAUUUAAACGGAGUCUGUAUGACCCAUUUUAGGGGGAUAGAUCCUGGGUACAGAGGAGGUCUGUUUGGAAUACCCAAAGGUGGGAAUUGAUUGAGGAGUGGACUUAGGCUUUGAUUAAGCUAAAUUAGGUUUGGGGAUUAAUGCUACAGUAACCUACCUUAUAAGCGCCGAGGACCCCUCUUUUCCCCCGAUUCUUCUUCCUCCCCUGUCCACUUCGUCCCGAUCCUCACCGGCGAUUCUCCUCCUCCUCCUUAUCUCGGUGUCGCCGGCGUGGCUGAUGGUGGAGUGCUUAGGAGGGAAGACAAGCUACGGGCGUUUCUCUCCUUCCUCCCAUUCUCGAUUCCCAUCGCAUCUCAGUCGUGAUGCCGGCGAUUCUUGAUCGCGCCAGUGAUGUCCAGCCCAUCGCCACCGGACCUUCCUUCUCCAUCCCGAUUGCUGAUGCCCCGUCUCCCUCCUCCCUCUCCCGUUCGUGAUGCUGGAAUCCAUCGACCCACGGGAUGCCGUAGCCGUUCUUGAAGCUGUGCCCUAGCUCAGAUUCGUCGCCGACAACCACUCUUUCCCCCACCCGAUGUGUUUCUCUCGCAACCUCUUCUGAUCGUUGGUCGCACUACCACGGCCUCGCUGCCUCGCCGUGUACUGGAGUCUCGAUCGAGUGCCACCACCAGGGAACGAUUAGUUUAGGCAUCAGAUCGAAAUAUUGGAGGAUUGCACUGUUGCCGAUCACUGCCACUCCAACUCUUGAAGCUGUGGAGGUCACGGGUGUGAAGGAAUUCUUGGUGGUUGUGUGCAGAGAUUGGUAGAGGGCUGUUGAGCUACUGGGUUUGUUGCCAUACCUCAAGGACUUGGAUUCGGGACGAGCGUCUCGACACGGGAUUACU
Zingiber officinale is the source of this 931-nucleotide long non-coding RNA. RefSeq lists it as uncharacterized. The record is from RefSeq and is a predicted model, not a curated record. Lineage: Eukaryota; Viridiplantae; Streptophyta; Magnoliopsida; Zingiberales; Zingiberaceae. The transcript has 4 exons.